UCUAAAAUUAUUAGAUAUAAUGAAUUCUAAAUAUAGGUGUAGAUUAUAUAGAAUGUAUAUAAUUGAAGCACCUAAAAUCUUCAAAACUUUUGGUAAGUCUUUUUUAAAUUUUGCACCAUCUUAUAUUGCUGAAAAAUUAAGAAUUUUAGAUGGUAGUUAUAGAACUUAUUUAAAAGAAGAAAUAUUAGAAACACAAUUAGAAAAAAAAUAUGGUGGUAUACAAGAAAUAGAAAAUGAUUCGUAUUAUCCCUUUCGCUUUUAUCCUAAAUGUUAUAUUAAUGAUAAGAAUAGCACUGGUAUUGUUAGUAGUAGUAGUAAUAGUAAUAGCAGUAGUACUCAUAGUAAUAAUGCAAAUGGUAGUACGAACAAAACUAGUCAACUAAACAAAGGCAAUAAACUUGCAAAAAUAGAUAUUUUUAGCAAAAAUAAUAACAAAAUACAUGAAUACGUAACUGCUGGUUAUUCAAUGCAUUUGGAAUUAGUGGAAGUAGGUAGUAAAGAAUAUGACAAUUUGCAACAUUCAUAUUUAAAUAAUAAAUCGACUUGUAAAACCGAUAAACUAGAUUCUAGUGAAACGCAUACAGAGAGCAAAGAAAACGAUAAAACUGGCACGAACUGCAACAGCAAUGGUAAUAUUAAUAGGGAUGGUGGAAGAAAUACAAGUUACAACAGUCGAGAUAGUACAAUAUAUACCAUGAUGAAUAGCCAAUUGAGUAACGACAUAAAUAUAAUCGAUAGCAAUUCGAGUACAAAAAGGAAUCAGAAAAAUUAUAUAAAUAAUACAGACGAACAUAUUAUACACGAUAUUUUUGUUAAUUCAGUUAAAGAAAAGGAAUUCCAUAUUGAUAAUAAUAGUGACAUAUAUACAGAUACUACUACUACUACUACUAAUAAUAAUAAUAAUAAAAGUAGUAACCGUACCAUUAGCAAUAAUGUCGUUAAAAAUAAUCGUUUUGGCAAGAAUAGUAGUAACGAACGUAACAAACGUAACAAAAGUAGUAAUAACAAAUGUCAUAGCUUUCUGAAAAAUCAUAAUUUUAUUAAUGUGAAAAGCAAAUUUGUUGUAAAUACCAAAAGCUCUUAUCAAUGGCUAUAUAAGUUGAAAUAUUUAUUUUUAUCUAAUAUAACUAUUAAUUAUUUAUUAAAACGUUUUCCCCUUUUAAGUAACUAUGUAAUAGAUAAAGCUCAAUUUAUUACAAUGUAUGAUUAUUUUAAAUAUGUGGAUAAUAAGAUAAACAAUAAAGACAUGACACUGUGUAAUGAUGAGUUUAAGAGUAGACAUAGUGGUGAUAAAAUUGGUGUUAAUGUUGUCACUGCAAAUACAACAAACAAAUAUAAGAAGAGUAGUACAUUAAUUUCGAACACUAAAAAAAAAAAUAUCAGUGAAAAUAUAUUUUUGAAUAGGAUACAAUCAUCAAGUAAUAAUAUGUACGUUAAUAAAAAACGUAUGAACACAAUGGAAAAAGAUAAUACUUCCAAUAAUUGUAUUACUUCUAAUAAUUAUAAUAAUAAUAAUAAUAAAUUAGAAAUAGAUAAUAAAAAAAUUGAAAGUAAUAUUGUACAAAAUAUAUGUAACUCAAGUAGUUUAAAAAUAAAAAAAAAAAUAAAUAAAAAAAUAAACGAAGGAAUAGAUAAUGAUGGAAAUAAAAAUGAAUCGAACAAUACAGAAAAAAUGAAUUUUUACAGAAACAUGUCGGCUUUUUUUAAUGAUACUGCUGCUUGUAGUAAAGCGCAGAUGGAAACAAAAAAAAGUCAAAAGAGUGAUAGGAAGCUUGGAAUGGAAAAAACAGUGGAAAGUUACAAAAUAGAAAGAGCACCUAAUACAAACGAGGUUAACAACUGGGAAACAAAAGUGUUGAUCACAACACGUAAGACAGUCGAGAUAGACAAUAUAGAGAAAAAAAAAAAAAUGUAUAAAAUAAAAAUUGCAGCCAACCUAUUUAAAGAAGAGUCAAACAAACUACAGAAAAAAGAAAAUAUAAAAGAACAUACUAAUAAAAAAAUACAGGUUCUUAAUAUAAAAAAUAAAAACAUGUUAGAAGAUAAUAAAAAUAUGCAAGAUAGUACGAAGCAAGGGAAAAAUAAUGAGUGUUAUAUAAAAAAAAAAAGUACUAGCAAAACUAGUAAUAGUAGUAAUACUAACUACAUGAAUAUGCAUAAAUUACCUAUUAAAAAAAAAAUAGAUCGUAAUAUUAUAACUAUGGAAAAUAAAGAUAUGGUUAAUAUAAAUCAAAAAGUAUACAAAAAGGUAGACGAAACUGUAUUACAAAAAAAUGAUUCUAAUAGAACCAUAAGUACAAAAAUAUCAAAAAGCACAAUCUCUUAUGAUUUAGAUAGUGAAAAUAAUUUAUAUGUUAAUGAAACGGGAAAUUAUAAAAUAAGUAAAAAAAAUAAUGAUAAAAAAAAAUUAAGAUCUUCUUUCAAUUCUGAUGUAUUAGCAACUAAAUCGGUAAAUGAGGUAACCAUUCAAGUGAAAAAGGAGCUGAAAACUGAGAAAAAUGAGAAAAAGGAGUUGAAAAAUGAGAAGAAGGAGUUGAAAAAUGAAAAAAAUGAAAAAAAUGAAAAAAAUGAAAAAAAUGAGAAAAAGGAGUUGAAAAAUGAGAAGAAGGAGUUGAAAAAUGAGAAAAAUGAGAAAAAUGAAAAAAAUGAAAAAAAUAAAAAAAAUGAAAAAAAUGAGAAAAAUGAGAAAAAUGAAAAAAUAGAGUUGAACAAUGUGAACAAAAUAUCUAACUCAGUUAUUCAUAAACCCAAUACAUUAGGUAAGAAGUAUAAUUCACUAAUGAAUAUUACAAAAGAAAAAGAUCAAACUUUGCCUAUUAUUGUGGAAGAAGAAAAAAAUGGCAAAGGUGGUAUACUGAGAAAAAGUAAAAGGGGGUUUAGCAAUAUUAAACUUUUAGGUAUGCGUUUUUUUAAUAAGUCAGCUACAAAACCGUAGGUAGUAAAAUGUUUUGUUUUAUAGUUUAUGUAAAGAAAUUAUAUUAAAUAUAUACAUAUAGAUAUAUUUAUGUAUAAGUUUACUUAUAAAAAGGUGUUUAAAAAAAAAAAAAAAAAAAAAAAAAGUAUAAACAAAACUAAGUGAAGGUAUAAGUUAAGAAUCAAUAAAAUUGGAGAAUAUACGCUAGUGACA
Long non-coding RNA from Piliocolobus tephrosceles (Ugandan red Colobus), 3127 nucleotides. NCBI's taxonomy places the organism in Eukaryota, Metazoa, Chordata, Mammalia, Primates, Cercopithecidae. The record is from Ensembl.